RNAcentral lists this ribosomal RNA (1131 nucleotides) under Giardia muris. RNAcentral describes it as "Eukaryotic small subunit ribosomal RNA". It matches the Rfam family "Eukaryotic small subunit ribosomal RNA", at positions 397 to 1831 of the family's 1831-position model. Lineage: Eukaryota; Fornicata; Diplomonadida; Hexamitidae. The record is from Rfam by way of RNAcentral.
UGAGAGACGGCCCGUACAUCCAAGGACGGCAGCAGGCGCGGAACUUGCCCAAUGCGUGAAGGCGUGAGGCAGCAACGGGGGAUCCCAUGAAAUGGGAAGACUGGGGGGUAGAUGACCCCAGCACAAGUCGAGGGAAAGGUCUGGUGCCAGCAGCCGCGGUAAUUCCAGCUCGGCAGGCGUCGUACGGCGCUGUUGCAGUUAAAACGUCCGGAGUCGAGACGUCCAGCCGGGAGGAAAGAGGAGCGCUUAAGGCGGGAGUGAGUACGAGAAAGCCCGGGACGGACAUGAAGGUGAAUGGGUAAGGGCAUGUGUAUUGGUGGGGACGGGUGAAAUAGGAUGAUCCGACCAAGACAGACAAAGGCGUAGGCACUUGCCAAGACCAUAUCAGUCGAACCAGGACGAAGCCCGGGGGCGAGAAGGCGAUUAGACACCACCGUAUUCCCGGGCGUAAACGAUGCCACCGAGAGACUGGCCAGGUCGUCAGGAUCGAAGGGAAACCGAUCAGGGUACGGGCUCUGGGGGGAGUAUGGCCGCAAGGCUGGAACUUGAAGGCAUUGACGGAGGGGUACCACCAGACGUGGAGUCUGCGGCUCAAUUUGACUCAACGCGAACACCUUACCAGGCCCAGACGUACGGAGGAUCGACGGUUGAGAGGACCUUCGUGAUCGUACGAGUGGUGGUGCAUGGCCGUUCACAGCCCGUGGCUUGAGCCGUCUGCUUGACUGCGACAACGAGCGAGACCCUAACCUGGAUGGGACCGCCAAUGGUGAAUUGGAGGAAGGUGGGGCGAUAACAGGUCUGUGAUGCCCUUAGACGCCCUGGGCUGCACGCGUACUACACUGUGGGGGAUGAAACCACGUCGAGUUGUGAAGCUUGAUGAGAUCAAACCCCCACGUGGUUGGGAUCGUGGACUGGAACGUCCUCGUGAACCUGGAAUGUCUAGUAGGCGUAGGUCAUCAAUCUACGCCGGAUACGUCCCUGCCCCUUGUACACACCGCCCGUCGCUCCUACCGACUGGGUCUUCUGGCGAGCUCCUGGGAGGGAUGAACCGAACAGGGACGAACCGCGAGGCUUGGAGGAAGGAGAAGUCGUAACAAGGUAUCCGUAGGUGAACCUGCGGAUGGAUCCAUC